Molecule: long non-coding RNA, 400 nt
Organism: Helianthus annuus (common sunflower)
Lineage: Eukaryota; Viridiplantae; Streptophyta; Magnoliopsida; Asterales; Asteraceae
Exons: 3
Source: RefSeq, a predicted model, not a curated record
GUGAAUAUGCAUGUGAUGUUGAUGGCAGUGCUUUUUCAUCUUCUCCAACUGAUCAACUUGCAAGUAGCAAUUGGAAUCUAAAGAAAGUUUCAAGACUGUCCCGUUCUAUUCUACGUCUGCUUGAAACAACUAUUCCGGGAGUUACUGAGCCUAUGCUUUACAUUGGGAUGCUAUUUGGUUAUGAUCUGUUAAAAGGUUUGCCUGAUUGAUUUCUUUGCUUGAUUCACACAUUUUAUAUUUGUGGUUCUCACAUGCUUGGCUUACUACCAGAUGAUGAUAAAUGUGAUAAGUUAGUCCACAUUCAUACUUGUUUAUUGUUACAAGACUUCUUGGUUCCUGAAUGGGUUCUUUUUUCAUUUAUGUGUAAUGACUACAUAUCACUUAUGGAGAAAAAAUACAU